CGAGAAACGAACUUAACAGAUAUUUAUUUGCAUUUAAAAUAGGAUGGGAUAUAUAUUAGCAUUUAUAUAGGAUGGGGGUCGAGCUUCGUAAGAGAGAAACAAAAUCCAUUUUAGUUCCUUUGUCAGUGUCCACUGAGAAAUGUUCUGCGCAUGUUGGAGGUCUACAGCAGUACCGACUUCUGACAGGCAACAAGAAUCAUCAUAGGGAUGUUUAGGCCUUCGAAUGUGACUGUGAGUUUUCCUAUUUCAGACCUCGAGUCCUACCAAACAGAACAACAGAAAGGGAUUAACUCAACACUUCUCAUAUUUAUUAUGACACGUUGACUGUGUUCUCAAAUGGUAUGCAUUGAACUUACG
This is a long non-coding RNA of Biomphalaria glabrata, 357 nucleotides long. RefSeq lists it as uncharacterized. The transcript has 3 exons. The record is from RefSeq and is a predicted model, not a curated record. Lineage: Eukaryota; Metazoa; Mollusca; Gastropoda; Planorbidae.